This 776-nucleotide ribosomal RNA is filed under the name uncultured Neocallimastigales. RNAcentral describes it as "partial large subunit ribosomal RNA". It matches the Rfam family "Eukaryotic large subunit ribosomal RNA", at positions 24 to 644 of the family's 3401-position model. Lineage: Eukaryota; Fungi; Neocallimastigomycota; Neocallimastigomycetes; Neocallimastigales. The record is from RNAcentral.
UAUGUGAUCGUCUCUCGCAUAUCAAUAAGCGGAGGAAAAGAAACUAACAAGGAUUCCCCUAGUAACGGCGAGUGAAGCGGGAAGAGCUCAAAUUUGAAAUCUUAAAGGGUUUCCCUUUACGAAUUGUAGUUUAAAGAAGUGUUUUCUGUUGAGGUUUUGGUAAAAGUUCUUUGGAAUAGGACAUCAUAGAGGGUGAGAAUCCCGUAUUUGACCUUUACUUUCAACUUUGUGAUACACUUUCAAAGAGUCGGAUUGUUUGGGAAUGCAGUCCAAAAUGGGUGGUAAAUUUCAUCUAAAGCUAAAUAUUGGCGAGAGACCGAUAGCGAACAAGUACCGUGAGGGAAAGAUGAAAAGAACUUUGAAAAGAGAGUUAAACAGUACGUGAAAUUGUCAAAAGGGAAGCGUUUGACACCAGUGUUGUUUUUCUCGAAAAUCAAUUAAAGAACUGUUUAUGCUAAGUUGUUUAGACUUUAUCAGCUAAUCUGCUUAGUUUUGAGCUUUUCUUUAAUGCACUUUUCAGUUAACAAGUCAACAUCAAUUUCUUUUGCUGUAAAAAAGCUUGAGGAAGGUGGCUUGAGAUUCGUCUUAAGUGUUUAUAGCCUCUUGCCUCUGCAGUCGGAGAGAUUGAGGUCUGCAGCGUAGAUCCUUCGGGGCUAAAUGCAUUUGUGCUAAGUUAUAGCAUUUUAUAGACAACCUGUUGACUAUGAUUUGUCUUGUAGCUUACUCGCUUAUGUUAUUUUACCUACGCUUAGGAUGUUGAAUCUGUGCGAGACUAC